RNAcentral lists this long non-coding RNA (336 nucleotides) under Durio zibethinus. RNAcentral describes it as "long non-coding RNA (DZIB_LNC001698)". The record is from RNAcentral. Lineage: Eukaryota; Viridiplantae; Streptophyta; Magnoliopsida; Malvales; Malvaceae.
GUAUUGAGGAUCAGAAGGUAAAUACCGACUCUGAGGGUGUUGGGUUGGUGGUGGAGCUGGGGCUGGGGUGGGAAAUGGAGGUGGGACAGGGCCAGGGGCUGGGACUGGAGCAGGAGCUGGGGCUUGGGGGUUGGGUAAUUGGUUUGAAGGUAUAUAGUAGGAUUGUUGGGUCAAAUUCUGAGGUGGGGCUUGAGAGUGUGGCGCCACAGGCUGUUGUGGUGGUGCUACUUGAUGAGGCAGGGCAAGAGCUAAUUGCUGGUUUUGCAUCUCAGAUGUGUGGUCAGUUUUUUUAGAAUCAGAGGCAGGUGGUGAUGCUCUCUCCUCAGUGGAUUGUGA